This 69-nucleotide transfer RNA is filed under the name Leptocephalus sp. 'type II larva'. RNAcentral describes it as "tRNA-His". It matches the Rfam family "tRNA". From Rfam's summary of the family: Transfer RNA (tRNA) molecules are approximately 80 nucleotides in length. The record is from RNAcentral. Lineage: Eukaryota; Metazoa; Chordata; Actinopteri; Anguilliformes; Nettastomatidae.
GUAGAUAUAGUUUAACAAAGAUAUUAGAUUGUGAUUCUAAAGAUAGGAGAUAAAAUCCCCUUAUCCACC